Molecule: ribosomal RNA, 433 nt
Filed under: uncultured bacterium
Lineage: Bacteria
Description: partial 16S ribosomal RNA
Rfam family: Bacterial small subunit ribosomal RNA
Source: RNAcentral
GCGAACGCUGGCGGCAGGCCUAACACAUGCAAGUCGAACGAACCUUUCGGGGUUAGUGGCGGACGGGUGAGUAACACGUGGGAACGUGCCUUUAGGUUCGGAAUAACUCAGGGAAACUUGUGCUAAUACCGAAUGUGCCCUUCGGGGGAAAGAUUUAUCGCCUUUAGAGCGGCCCGCGUCUGAUUAGCUAGUUGGUUGAGGUAAUGGCUCACCAAGGCGACGAUCAGUAGCUGGUCUGAGAGGAUGAUCAGCCACAUUGGGACUGAGACACGGCCCAAACCCCUACGGGAGGCAGCAGUGGGGAAUCUUGCGCAAUGGGCGAAAGCCUGACGCAGCCAUGCCGCGUGAAUGAUGAAGGUCUUAGGAUUGUAAAAUUCUUUCACCGGGGACGAUAAUGACGGUACCCGGAGAAGAAGCCCCGGCUAACUUCGUG